GGCGCCCCGUCCCCGUCCCCCAUCCUUGGUUCCCCUCUGCUUCCCUCUGCGGCUCCUCCGAUCUGAACUCGCCGCCAGCCGCCUCCCGCCUGCUUCCGGGGUUCGUGCCUCUCCGACAGCUCGCCGUCGCCGCCUCCCCCUUGUCUCCGUGCCCCGCCCCCGCCGCGCCCUUCCCCACGUGCUGCUUCCGCGCCCGCGCGCUCCACCUGACCCACCCGCCCGGUCCUGUUCGGCGGUGUGCAGGCGUGCGCCCUGCCCUGCACUACAGAAGCAGCCAGCCUGCGGCCACCAGCUACCGGCCGGCCCUCCCACCGCCCCACGACUGAACACAGCACACAGGUGUACCACCCUGUUUUAAAUUCCUAGAUCCGGCUACCGGAGAGCGGAGCUGUGCCCGCGCGAGAUGGGGAUGGAGGAGUCCGCGGGGGGCGCCGCGAGGCAGGCCAAGGAGUCGCUGGAGCUGGCGUUCCAGAUGUCCCAGAUCCUGGACACUGGCCUCGACCGCCACACCCUCUCGCUGCUCAUGGCGCUCUGCGACCGCGGCGCCAACCCGGAGGCCCUCGCCGCCCUCGUCCGUGAGCUCUCCUCCGCCGCUCCCCUGGCCCCCGCCACCCCCACCGCGCCCGCCUCAAACGCCGUGGUGGCCCCGACCGCUCCCUCGCUGUUCCCCUCCGGCUUUCGCCAGGUCUAGGCUACUAAGGCCUUCCAUGCUGUAUGCUGAAACUGGUUCCUGAUUUGUAUUCUCAAGACUGGUAAUGCAAGGGGCAGGUGCCGAAGACUGGAUGCAACCGACGACGUUCUUGAUUUGAAGUCGGGCCAAAUCUGGUACUUGGCUUGCUGGAAGAGCCGGAUUAGCUUUGGUCAGGAGGAAGCAAAUCUUGCUCAGUAAUGCACUUGUGAUGCUGUUUCCACAAGAAAAAGUUGUGGCUCAUUGAGUUCCUGUAAAUUGGCAUAUUUCUUUGCUUGACUUGGACACGGCUGUAGUAAUCAUGAUAGCCACUACCUCUUCAUUCAUGGUCA
RNA transcript from Triticum aestivum (bread wheat), 1020 nucleotides. It is a transcript of the gene named mitotic-spindle organizing protein 1A, with no coding region annotated. NCBI's taxonomy places the organism in Eukaryota, Viridiplantae, Streptophyta, Magnoliopsida, Poales, Poaceae. The record is from RefSeq and is a predicted model, not a curated record. The transcript has 4 exons.